GUGUAGCUCAGUGGUAGAGCACUUGCUUAGCACGCAAUGCACAAGGCCCUGGGUUCCAGCCCCAGCAC
Molecule: transfer RNA, 68 nt
Filed under: Ictidomys tridecemlineatus (thirteen-lined ground squirrel)
Lineage: Eukaryota; Metazoa; Chordata; Mammalia; Rodentia; Sciuridae
Description: Spermophilus tridecemlineatus (thirteen-lined ground squirrel) tRNA
Rfam family: tRNA
About the family: Transfer RNA (tRNA) molecules are approximately 80 nucleotides in length. Their secondary structure includes four short double-helical elements and three loops (D, anti-codon, and T loops).
Source: Rfam by way of RNAcentral